GAUGAACGCUGGCGGCGUGCCUAAUACAUGCAAGUCGAGCGAACAGAUAAGGAGCUUGCUCCUUUGACGUUAGCGGCGGACGGGUGAGUAACACGUGGGUAACCUACCUAUAAGACUGGGAUAACUUCGGGAAACCGGAGCUAAUACCGGAUAACAUUUGGAACCGCAUGGUUCUAAAGUGAAAGAUGGUUUUGCUAUCACUUAUAGAUGGACCCGCGCCGUAUUAGCUAGUUGGUAAGGUAACGGCUUACCAAGGCAACGAUACGUAGCCGACCUGAGAGGGUGAUCGGCCACACUGGAACUGAGAAACGGUCCAGACUCCUACGGGAGGCAGCAGUAGGGAAUCUUCCGCAAUGGGCGAAAGCCUGACGGAGCAACGCCGCGUGAGUGAUGAAGGGGUUCGGCUCGUAAAACUCUGUUAUUAGGGAAGAACAAAUGUGUAAGUAACUGUGCACGUCUUGACGGUACCUAAUCAGAAAGCCACGGCUAACUACGUG
Molecule: ribosomal RNA, 497 nt
Filed under: uncultured bacterium
Lineage: Bacteria
Description: partial 16S ribosomal RNA
Rfam family: Bacterial small subunit ribosomal RNA
Source: RNAcentral